GUAGGUGGCAAGCGUUGUCCGGAAUUAUUGGGCGUAAAGCGCGCGCAGGUGGUUCUUUAAGUCUGAUGUGAAAGCCCCCGGCUCAACCGGGGAGGGUCAUUGGAAACUGGGGAACUUGAGUGCAGGAGAGGAAAGUGGAAUUCCACGUGUAGCGGUGAAAUGCGUAGAUAUGUGGAGGAACACCAGUGGCGAAGGCGACUUUUCUGGCCUGUAACUGACACUGAGGCGCGAAAGCGUGGGGAGCAAACAGGGAUUAGAUACCCUGGUAGUCCACGCCGUAAACGAUGAGUGCUAAGUGUUGGGGGGGUUUCCGCCCCCUCAGUGCUGCAGCUAACGCAUUAAGCACUCCGCCUGGGAGUACGGUCGCAAGACUG
Molecule: ribosomal RNA, 374 nt
Filed under: uncultured organism
Description: partial 16S ribosomal RNA
Rfam family: Bacterial small subunit ribosomal RNA
Source: RNAcentral